UAGUUUCUUAGUCAUGGUACAUAAGCAAUUCCUCUUUAAAAUGAAUAACAUUAUUUUUUUCCUGUAUAGAGUGGACAAAGGCAACAAAGCAGCGGUGCUACUUACAUUCAGGGUGGGCCAACCUACACUAUCAGCAGCGGUUCUUACGGACAGGGUUCCCGAGGCAGCCAGACCUAUGGUCAGGUCUAUCAGCCACAAGGUGGCACUUCCUAUGGCCAGCAGAGUGGAUUUUCUUCUUCAGGUGGCAGUGGAGGUUGUGGACAAGAGGGCAGCAACCAGAGUAGAACACAUUGUACUGCUUCACAUCUUGCUAUUCCAAGAAGGAUCCAUGCAGCCGAAACAUACCGAAACAGGGAAAUGAAAGGCAGUAGCAGAAGAUCUGUGAUGAGCGAAUCUAGAAAGAUUCUGGGGUAGGUGGUCACACAGCAGUGAUUGUUGGCUCUUUAACGGAUUACCCAAUGUAAUCUUUAAUGUUAAUAUUUGCCAAUCAAGAAGAACUUAGAUAAAUUAAUAGAAGCGUCAGUUGCAAAACUACCUCACUUUUCCACACUGCAACCAAAUAAUCCUGCUUUCAUUAUCUGUAUUUUGAUGCUUAUAAGUAGGUGGAUAUGGAAUAGAAAGAG
Molecule: long non-coding RNA, 623 nt
Filed under: Phasianus colchicus (ring-necked pheasant)
Lineage: Eukaryota; Metazoa; Chordata; Aves; Galliformes; Phasianidae
Description: lncRNA (ENSPCLG00000022335.1)
Source: RNAcentral